Molecule: ribosomal RNA, 395 nt
Filed under: uncultured bacterium
Lineage: Bacteria
Description: bacterial SSU rRNA
Rfam family: Bacterial small subunit ribosomal RNA
Source: RNAcentral
GAUGAACGCUAGCUACAGGCUUAACACAUGCAAGUCGAGGGGCAGCAUGGUCUUAGCUUGCUAAGGCCGAUGGCGACCGGCGCACGGGUGAGUAACACGUAUCCAACCUGCCGUCUACUCUUGGACAGCCUUCUGAAAGGAAGAUUAAUACAAGAUGGCAUCAUGAGUUCACAUGUUCACAUGAUUAAAGGUAUUCCGGUAGACGAUGGGGAUGCGUUCCAUUAGAUAGUAGGCGGGGUAACGGCCCACCUAGUCUUCGAUGGAUAGGGGUUCUGAGAGGAAGGUCCCCCACAUUGGAACUGAGACACGGUCCAAACUCCUACGGGAGGCAGCAGUGAGGAAUAUUGGUCAAUGGGCGAGAGCCUGAACCAGCCAAGUAGCGUGAAGGAUGACUG